RNAcentral lists this ribosomal RNA (426 nucleotides) under uncultured bacterium. Its description in RNAcentral is "bacterial SSU rRNA". It matches the Rfam family "Bacterial small subunit ribosomal RNA", at positions 356 to 773 of the family's 1533-position model. The record is from RNAcentral.
GAGGAAUAUUGCGCAAUGGGGGCAACCCUGACGCAGCAACGCCGCGUGAGUGAGGAAGGUUUUCGGACCGUAAAGCUCUGUCGAGCGGGAAGAAAUGCAUAGUGGCUAAUAUCCAUUAUGCUUGACGGUACCGCUAAAGGAAGCACCGGCUAACUCCGUGCCAGCAGCCGCGGUAAUACGGGGGGUGCUAGCGUUGUUCGGAAUCAUUGGGCGUAAAGAGCGUGUAGGCGGCUGGAUAAGUCAGAUGUGAAAGCCCUGGGCUUAACCCAGGAAGUGCAUUUGAAACUGUUCAGCUUGAGUAAGGGAGAGGAAAGUGGAAUUCCUGGUGUAGAGGUGAAAUUCGUAGAUAUCAGGAGGAACACCGGUGGCGAAGGCGACUUUCUGGCCCUAUACUGACGCUGAGACGCGAGAGCGUGGGUAGCAAAC